RNAcentral lists this unclassified non-coding RNA (3416 nucleotides) under Hevea brasiliensis (rubber tree). The record is from RNAcentral. Lineage: Eukaryota; Viridiplantae; Streptophyta; Magnoliopsida; Malpighiales; Euphorbiaceae.
GUAAAAUUUCAAUAGAGUCCCUAGCUAGCUAGCCAGACUAAUAUACUUUCGCUUCACAACAAUCAACAAAUACGUGUUUUUUAAAUAAUAAAAAAAAAUCAUGUAAAACAAAAACAUAAAAUAUCACACGAGAUCUUCUAGGGGACCCAUUCCCCAGCCCACUUUUUUAUAUUAUGGAUACAUACAUGGGCGCCUCAGCCUGAGGAUCAAAACAAAACAAAAGGUGAACAUGGACAGGGGUGGAAUUGAAAGUUGAAAGCUGACAAUACAACUCUUAAAAUAUAUAGUAUCUUUGAGGGUGGCCAACUAGAGAACAUACAAUUUCCUGUGCAGCAUAAACAGAAUGACUAGUGAGUUCGGGAUUCUUCCCAAAGAAAAGUAAUAUGCGAAUACUGCAAUACGUCACCAUGCCUAACCAAUUCAAUAAACAACUGAAGUGCCUGCCCUUCGAUGGCUCAAGAAAGCGGUGUGUCUGUGUCACUAGCAGCAACAUUUUGUUCACUCUUUAAUGGUGGCAACUCUGAGAUCAACGCCUACUGCGAGCUGCUGAGCCACAGUAGCUUGCCAGUUUGCUUGUGCUUGAAGUCAAGAUCGCUCAUAUAUCUCUUAUCUAAUCUGUUGUCCCACCAUUUACCAGGGUUUUCCACUACGUCUGUCCAUUAUUGAUCCCCUAAAACAAAGACCACCAAAAUAUCUAAAGCAAAACAGAACCACUGACCGAAUAAUCUGAAGACAAAACUUUAGAAUGAGGAUGUUGAUCAUAUAUUAGAUGAUAUUUUCCUUUUCUCAGCUACCCCAAUUUUAGAAAGUAUCAUAAUUAUAUGGAAGAAAAUCAAGUUCAAUGGUUGGUUUAUCAAAUAUCAAAGGGAAAGUAAAAAAUGUAUCCUGUUGUUUUGUUUUUUUUUGUGCUUUGGAAGCCCUUUUUUUUUUUAAUCCACUAAGGUUUUCGUUACCUAUCAUUUUGCUACCAUUUUUAGCUAACAUCAUUAAUAUAUUACAUAUCUAGAUCCUACAUGGCAAAUAAUAAAAUUUGAGUGCUACUCAUAUAACAGACACUUGCACUACCAAGUUGUAUCUCAUCAAUGCCUCAUUAAUGAAUUUAUUUUUUUUACAUGUAGAUAACAUCAAGUAAUAAGAAACAAGAGAGACACAUUUUAUUCUUCCAAGCAUAUGCAAUUACGGUUAAUAAAAUGCCUGAUUGAGUAUUAUGACUUAUUUUACAACACAUGGGUACUAUAUAAAUAUAGUUUCAAAGAUAUCAGCUAAAAUAAUACUUAAGUGUUACAGAUAAAAGUCAAGGUAAUAAAAUGAUACAAAGAAAUCCACAAGAACCAAAGUGAAAAAACUCCAAACCACAAGGUAUGUUUUUGAAAUUUUUCUGAUUCAAAUUACAACAAUACAUUACUCCAGAACAAACUUGUGUAGCUUAAAUAUGUGCGAAACAAUCCCCUCUUAAGGCUGCAAACAAGUCGAACUGUUGUAAGCAACUUGAAACCCACCUCUAGAAAAGCUCGAGCUUUGCAUCCAUGUCAAUGAGCCAAGCAAAAGCUCACUUUUAAGGCUUGUCUAAAAUUCGAUCGGGUUAAUAUAGCUAUUAUAAAAGACAGAAACUUCCACAAAAAAAACGUCCUUUGAUUAUAAUAUUUAAGAAAUAUAAUAUUUAUUUAUUUUUAUUUAUAUUUUUGAAUUAUAAAUUUUAUUAUUCUUGUCCCAUGGAAAUGGGCAAGCUGUCUCAAAAGGAAUGGAGGACAGAAAAAUGAGAAUUGGACAAGACAAGAAUCCCCUUAUAUAGUUAUGUCUUGUCCAAAACAUGCACCAAACACAGGACGUGAGAAUUAUCGUGUCCUAUUCUAUCCACUGAACCAAAUGCACCCUAAAUGUACAAUUUUUUCUUUUGCACCAUAUAGUCUGCAUAACAUACAAUCACAAAACUAGCCCAGUGGCCCCCAAACUCCAAAGUCUACUUUCAAAGAGGGUACUAUGAACUUAAAGCUCCAGAUAAUGGCAGGGAUUGAGGUCUAGGCUCCACUACUUCAAGGCAAAUCAGUGUAAAAGAUGGAGAAUAGGUUACAAUUUUCCAGCAUCAGCCAAAAUUUCCAUAAUGGGUAGUACUUUUAGAUAUUUAUAGAUAAGGGAGUACAACAAUAAGGGAUUAACCUAAACAUUGUAUUUAUGUUUUUUUUUCCUCGAUCAUGCGCAAGAAAGAAAAACGAAAAAAAGAAGCAGGCAACUCCAAGGACAAAGGCACACAACAUAGGGUAAUAUAUGCAUGUCAGGAAAAAAUUCAUACUUUUAAACGGCUUCCCUUGUUUUGAUUUAGGAAUCUUAUGAAACUCCAACUUUUCAAGUUCUGAUAAAAUCCAGCCCGGUGCCCUAUCAAGCCAGAGAGCCACACCACCAUCCUUGCGUUUAAAAUCAGGAUGUCUUGAAUGUGCCAAUCCACUACGCUUAUUGCUGCGGUAAUCCCACCACUGUUUUUGAUUAUCAAGAAGGUCUCUCCAGGAAUUUAAUGCAGAAUCACCAUCUUUGUUAGUACUAGCAUUAUACUUUAAAGGCCCUUCCUGUUGCCUGUGUAAAAAGCCGCCAUCUUGUUGCCAACGCCCAUAGCCUUUUGUAAUUUGAGAAGACACUUGGACAAAGUUCAUAUUAUCUACCAUAAUCCAAACUUGGGCUUGACCCCCAAUUACAUCUAUGGGAGGGGAACCUGAAAUUAGUUCUCCAGCUAUGUAGACAUAAUCACCUUUUUUUAAGUGGCUAGAAGCAACAUGAGCCAAAUUACCUUCAAAUAUUAUUGGAAUUCUGAUAUAUCACAAAAUGAAUAAAUUAAUGAAAUAAUAAUAGCACCUAGCAAAACAAAGUAAAUCAAUUAAAAUUUAUAAGAACAAAAAGAAAAAUUAACCAUAGUAAAUGACUCAAAUUCCCAACUCUACCACAAAUACAUAUAACGUUUCAAGAAAACUAAAAGAAUAAAAAAAAAAUAGAAGUUUAAGAUUUUUAAGGAUAAAAAUUACACUAUAGUAGGAAUUAUUUACAAUAAAUUUUACUAGUACAAAAAAAAGGGAAACUUUUAACACAGACCAAAGGAGAAAAGGAAAGGCAUUUUUUAUCAAAUUAAGAUAUACUUCUAGCAGAAACUAGACAGUCUUUCAAAACUUAAAUGCAACCAAAAAGCACCAAAUUCUAAAAAUUAUAAGUUAUUUCAUUGUUUUAUUAUUAAAUAUUAAUUUAUUCAAGGACAAGAUGGAUUUCAACCAAUGGAAAGAAUCUAGGUUGCAAUGACUCUCUGACACCUCCUACAGUCAAAUUUUUUGAAGCAUCAAAGCUAAAACCUGUUAAACUCCCCACUGCUAAAAUCAAGAGAAAGAAAUUUAAACCAUCACUCCUUAGCACUGUGAAUAUCUAAUUUCACUAAAAAG